Dalotia coriaria is the source of this 3794-nucleotide RNA transcript. It is a transcript of the gene named serine/threonine-protein kinase nemo, with no coding region annotated. The record is from RefSeq and is a predicted model, not a curated record. NCBI's taxonomy places the organism in Eukaryota, Metazoa, Arthropoda, Insecta, Coleoptera, Staphylinidae. The transcript has 9 exons.
GGUAGCCAGUUCACAGCACGUUUGCUUCAAAUUAGUCAGUCCGGACGAGAAAGCAGGAUCGGUCACCGCGCGCGUUUAUCGACCGACGAGAGUGGAACCCAUAUCGCCUGCGCCGAGUGGCUGAUUCGCGUCGCAUCGAAAGGGCCACACACUAGUCGUUGCCGCCUCCACACAAGCUAUCCAUAAACGCAAGCAAUUGCCGAUCAGCUAAACCAGCAAACACGAAUCACGCCGUGUUCACAGUCACAUCGAUAGAACAGCAGCAGCGCUGAGUGCACAAAGCACAAAGAAAAGGGACCCUGGCAGUGUAAAACCAAACCCAAACAGUAAGCAAGCAGCCAAUACAAGUGUACAGUGUGAUACAAACAGUGUGAAUGUCUUCGAUUUUCCAAUAAAUAAAUAAAAAAAAACAAGCAUAGACAGCGCCGUGACGCGGUGGGAAAUCCAGUGAAGAGUAAUAUAUUAAUACUAUGAACAUUUGUGCACGCUGUUGAGCUCGUCGCCGAGGAGUAGCCGAAGGACGCGCGCGCGGGUGAGCACGCAAUCGCGCUGGUGCAUCUGAUGGCUGUGGUCGGCCCUAGCCGGCAUUCGCGGGGCGCCUCCGCGGCGACGACGACGAUGUCGGCCGUCUCCAUGUCGCUGAUGCAGGGCGCGGCGGGGCCGACCGUGGCGGCGGCGGGUGGCAACGGCGGCGCAGCAGCGGCUGCCGUCGCGGCCGGAGCGCAAGCACCUCACGCCGCACAACCCUACUACCACCCCCAGCAUGCCGCCGCGCCCGCCCACACGCAGGAACAGGUGCAGCCGGAUCGUCCCAUUGGGUAUGGUGCAUUCGGUGUAGUUUGGGCUGUGACCGACCCGCGGGAUGGCCGCCGAGUGGCGCUGAAGAAGCUCCCGCAUGUGUUUCAGUCGCUGGUGUCCUCAAAGCGCGUUUUUCGCGAACUCAAGAUGCUCUGCUUCUUUAAACACGAGAAUGUGCUUUCUGCGUUGGAUAUCCUGCAGCCACCGCAUCUCGACUUCUUCCAAGAAAUAUACGUGAUAACCGAGCUGCUCCAGAGCGACCUGCACAAGAUCAUCGUCUCGCACCAGCCGCUCUCCUCCGAUCACAUCAAGGUGUUUAUGUACCAGAUUCUGCGCGGGCUCAAGUAUCUGCAUUCGGCGCGGAUACUGCAUCGCGAUAUUAAGCCGGGGAAUUUACUCGUCAAUAGCAACUGUGUUCUGAAGAUCUGUGAUUUUGGUCUGGCGCGUGUCGAAGAGCCGGACGCGUCCAAGCACAUGACUCAGGAGGUGGUCACGCAGUACUACCGCGCGCCGGAAAUUCUCAUGGGCGCGCGACAUUACACCGCAGCGGUGGACGUGUGGUCGGUUGGUUGCAUAUUCGGCGAGCUGCUCGGACGACGCAUACUCUUCCAGGCGCAGAAUCCAAUCCAGCAGCUUGAGUUGAUCACUGAGUUGUUGGGUACGCCCUCUAUGGAUGAUAUGCGGUAUGCGUGCGAAGGCGCAAAGUCACACAUGCUCAAUCGGGCGCAGAAGCCACCUUCACUCACCGCUCUCUACACGCUGAGUAGUCAGGCCACUCCUGAGGUGGUGCAUCUGUUAUGUCAGAUGCUCGUAUUUGAUCCAGAUAAGCGAAUAAGUGUGGUGGACGCAUUGGCACACCCGUAUCUUGACGAAGGGCGGCUUCGGUACCAUUCGUGCAUGUGCAAGUGCUGCUACACGACCAACAGCGGUAUGCGGCAGUACACCUCCGAGUUUGAGACGACGGCACCGCAAGCAUUCGAUGACAGAUGGGAACGCAAGCUUACAUCAGUACGACAGGUCAAAGAGGAAAUGCACAAGUUCAUUGCGGAACAGUUGAACACGUCGCGCGUACCCUUGUGCAUCAAUCCGCAGUCGGCGGCGUUCAAGAGCUUCGCCAGGAAUUCGAAAGAGCACGGCAAGCAGUGCGCACCUUUCAAGAAGACGCUCGAAAUCUUGCUCUCGCCCGUCAUCUUUCUGUGCGCCGCGUAACACACGUAUUCGUAUUUAAGUUCACACACACAUGCGCCGAAAGAAACAAAAACACGCAUCUCGAGCCGAUCAUGUGCCGCCCGCUUGUGUAAAUGUUUUCAUUAGUUCGACGGUGGCUCACCCUAGCGAGCAUCCGCCCUCGCCACACAAGUGGGACUGACCAACGUGACGAUGGUCGAUCAUGCAAGGGCCAUGAAUGCGACCACCACGCAGCAGGAGGUGCAAAGACUAUUAUAUGCAUCGUGUGCGAAGAGAAAAUAGAAAAAUGGCCGGCCGCCGCGAAAACCGAAUACACCAAAUAUAUUUAUUAUACAAAAAAAGCUGAAAGACGAAAGAAACAUAACAAAACACUGCAAACACAUGCGACACGCACGCGCAGACACUAAUUCGUAGCCAAGUGGAUUGUGUAUCGUGUACAUUUUUUGAUUCAGGGAUUUAUGUAAUAUUAACGCUAGUGUUCGUUCUCUCCUCCCAAUUUCUUACUAUAAAUUAUAUAUUAGCGAGUUAGGCAAACGCGUUGCACACACACUGUGUGCCGAGAGAUGGCGGUGGCGCAUUUAUGAUGAAUGGACGCAAACGCAAUGCAAUUUAGUAACAUUUUAUCUAUAUAAUUAUAUACAUAAAUUUUUGUGAUUAUCAUAUUAGUGUGUAUCGAACAAAAGUGCAUUUGGCGACAUUUCGUGUGGGUGUGCAUUUUAAUUCUAUGUUUAUUUUUUAAACUCUUUUAGUUAGGGAGCGAAACUAAACCGCAUUAAGUGUAAUUAAACAUAACCUAUAAACUUAGGUGACAAGAAAACAAAACAUAUAAGAAAAAAAAAACACAAAAGAAAAUCGGUGACUGAUUGGUGUAACUUGUACAUUUCUAGCAUUGUAAGCAAAAAGUAGGGAAAACAUGUAAACCACUUACACACACACAUACACACAUAUACUUGAUUUAGAAUUAAAUCACUGCCUUUUCUAAGAUGAAGAUAAAUAUUAGAAUAUAAUGUGCAUGGAAAUAUAUUUUAAAUUAAUGAACUUGAAAGAAAAAACGAAAUGACGUGGGGGUUACGGUUUGAGUUUUGAUGAAGUGGAUUAAUUCAUAAGACUGCAUUAUAAAUAUAUGAUGGGUGUAUGUAACAUUUGAAUGUUAACGAUACGAAUUCAGUUAGCGUAAGAGUCGAGUGUACAUUUGGCAAGCGUAGUUCAUGCAUUUUGAAUGAUAACGGAUAACUAUAACUAUGUAUAAUUGUGAUAUAUUAAUAGUAAUUUGCCUCCCCCACAUACACAAGACAUACACAACCACGUGAACCAAGGACGAUGAAGAUGAUUCACUAAUGAAUUUAUGAUAGUGAUGUACAUAUAUAGUUUGUGUGACGCCAGGGUGAAGAAAGACGAAAUAACAUUUAAUUAAUUUUUAAGACUGUAUAAAACAACAAACAAUGACGAUGAUGAUAAUGUGAGGGAGGAUAGUUGUGAGGAUAGAGCAAAGUGUAUAAUUUUAAUAAGAAACAGCUUAACUCUCAUCCAUUGGUAAUAAUGGACCAAUCGAUUCAGACAUUUGAUGGAAUGCGCGCGCCUGAUAAACGAGAUGUAAAUAAUUCAUUAUAAGUAUAAGAUCCUUGGAUGAUUUCGUUUCUCGGGCGAGAUGCGCAAGGGACGACGUGACGUUUAGCGAUAUGGUUUUUUGUCUUUACGAGAAACGAUUCUAGUAAGUGUUCAAAGUGGCCACCAGUAUAAUUCUAAAUGAUAGCUGCAUUCGAAUCAAAGAAAAAUGAAAACAAAAUACACGAAUACUGAUGAUGAAA